AUUUUCAGCCUGAUACAGAUUAAAUCAGAACGCAGAAGCGGUCUGAUAAAACAGAAUUUGCCUGGCGGCAGUAGCGCGGUGGUCCCACCUGACCCCAUGCCGAACUCAGAAGUGAAACGCCGUAGCGCCGAUGGUAGUGUGGGGUCUCCCCAUGCGAGAGUAGGGAACUGCCAGGCAUCAAAUUUAGCGUGCUGAUAUGGCUCAGUUGGUAGAGCGCACCCUUGGUAAGGGUGAGGUCCCCAGUUCGACUCUGGGUAUCAGCACCACUUUUUAGGUUAAAGUUCGGCAGAUUAGAAAAGAAUUUGUCUGGCGGCAGUAGCGCGGUGGUCCCACCUGACCCCAUGCCGAACUCAGAAGUGAAACGCCGUAGCGCCGAUGGUAGUGUGGGGUCUCCCCAUGCGAGAGUAGGGAACUGCCAGGCAUCAAAUUUAGCGUGCUGAUAUGGCUCAGUUGGUAGAGCGCACCCUUGGUAAGGGUGAGGUCCCCAGUUCGACUCUGGGUAUCAGCACCACUUUUUAGGUUAAAGUUCGGCAGAUUAGAAAAGAAUUUGUCUGGCGGCAGUAGCGCGGUGGUCCCACCU
Molecule: transfer RNA, 580 nt
Filed under: Escherichia coli 1-176-05_S4_C1
Lineage: Bacteria; Pseudomonadati; Pseudomonadota; Gammaproteobacteria; Enterobacterales; Enterobacteriaceae
Source: RNAcentral